GUGCUUUGGCAGCACAUGUACUAAAUUUGGAUUGAUACAGAGAAGAUUAGCAUGGGCCCUGCUCAAGGAUGACACAUGAAUUCGUGAAGCGUUUCAGAGUUUU
Heteronotia binoei (common prickly gecko) is the source of this 103-nucleotide small nuclear RNA. NCBI's taxonomy places the organism in Eukaryota, Metazoa, Chordata, Lepidosauria, Squamata, Gekkonidae. The record is from RefSeq and is a predicted model, not a curated record.